GACAGAGGCCCCGAGCGUUAAUCGGAAUUACUGGGCUUAAAGGGUGCGUAGGCGGAUUGGUAAGUGUCGCGUGAAAGCCCACGGCUCAACCGUGGAACGGCGCGGCAAACUGCCUGUCUUGAGGAAUCUAGAGGCCGGUGGAACGAUUGGUGGAGCGGUGGAAUGCGUAGAUAUCAAUCGGAACGCCCAAGGUGAAGACAGCCGGCUGGGGAUUUCCUGACGCUGAGGCACGAAAGCGUGGGGAGCAAACAGG
This 253-nucleotide ribosomal RNA is filed under the name uncultured bacterium. RNAcentral's name for it is "partial 16S ribosomal RNA". It matches the Rfam family "Bacterial small subunit ribosomal RNA", at positions 524 to 776 of the family's 1533-position model. The record is from RNAcentral.